RNAcentral lists this small RNA (128 nucleotides) under Arabidopsis thaliana (thale cress). RNAcentral describes it as "ATSL283920". The record is from RNAcentral. Lineage: Eukaryota; Viridiplantae; Streptophyta; Magnoliopsida; Brassicales; Brassicaceae.
AACAUUUUAUAGAUAGAUACAAUUUACAAAUUUUUAUAUAUAUUAAUUUAAAAAAUAAAUUGUUUUUGCAAUGUACCGCGGGUUAAAAUCUAGUAUUUUUACAUUUUUGUAUUAGUUGGGCGAAAUUU